AUCGCUUCUCGGCCUUUUGGCUAAGAUCAAGUGUAGCAUCUGUUCUUAUCAGUUUAAUAUAGAAGGACAUCAAUGGAAAUGGUAGAGUAAAGAAUUGACAUCAUAGAAGCAGAGAGUAGAAUAGUUGUUACCAGACACUGA
This is a non-coding RNA of Pongo abelii (Sumatran orangutan), 141 nucleotides long. Lineage: Eukaryota; Metazoa; Chordata; Mammalia; Primates; Hominidae. The record is from Rfam.